GCAUUGGUGGUUCAGUGGUAGAAUACUCGCUUGCAACGCAGGAGACCCGGGUCCGAUUCCUGGCCAAUGCA
RNAcentral lists this transfer RNA (71 nucleotides) under Danio rerio (zebrafish). Its description in RNAcentral is "tRNA-Cys (GCA) (tRNA-Cys-GCA-8-1)". It matches the Rfam family "tRNA". From Rfam's summary of the family: Transfer RNA (tRNA) molecules are approximately 80 nucleotides in length. Lineage: Eukaryota; Metazoa; Chordata; Actinopteri; Cypriniformes; Danionidae. The record is from Rfam by way of RNAcentral.